UUGCGACAGGCUUAACACAUGCAAGUCGAGGGGCAGCACAGGUAGCAAUACCGGGUGGCGACCGGCGCACGGGUGAGUAACGCGUAUGCAACUUGCCUAUCAGAGGGGGAUAACCCGGCGAAAGUCGGACUAAUACCGCAUGAAGCAGGGGCCCCGCAUGGGGAUAUUUGCUAAAGAUUCAUCGCUGAUAGAUAGGCAUGCGUUCCAUUAGGCAGUUGGCGGGGUAACGGCCCACCAAACCGACGAUGGAUAGGGGUUCUGAGAGGAAGGUCCCCCACAUUGGUACUGAGACACGGACCAAACUCCUACGGGAGGCAGCAGUGAGGAAUAUUGGUCAAUGGCCGAGAGGCUGAACCAGCCAAGUCGCGUGAGGGAUGAAGGUUCUAUGGAUCGUAAACCUCUUUUAUAAGGGAAUAAAGUGCGGGACGUGUCCCGUUUUGUAUGUACCUUAUGAAUAAGGAUCGGCUAACCCCGUGCCAGCAGCCGCGGUAAUACGGAGGAUCCGAGCGUUAUCCGGAUUUAUUGGGUUUAAAGGGUGCGUAGGCGGCCUUUUAAGUCAGCGGUGAAAGUCUGUGGCUCAACCAUAGAAUUGCCGUUGAAACUGGGGGGCUUGAGUAUGUUUGAGGCAGGCGGAAUGCGUGGUGUAGCGGUGAAAUGCAUAGAUAUCACGCAGAACCCCGAUUGCGAAGGCAGCCUGCCAAGCCAUUACUGACGCUGAUGCACGAAAGCGUGGGGAUCAAACAGGAUUAGAUACCCUGGUAGUCCACGCAGUAAACGAUGAUCACUAGCUGUUUGCGAUACACUGUAAGCGGCACAGCGAAAGCGUUAAGUGAUCCACCUGGGGAGUACGCCGGCAACGGUGAAACUCAAAGGAAUUGACGGGGGCCCGCACAAGCGGAGGAACAUGUGGUUUAAUUCGAUGAUACGCGAGGAACCUUACCCGGGUUUGAACGCAUUCGGACCGAGGUGGAAACACCUUUUCUAGCAAUAGCCGUUUGCGAGGUGCUGCAUGGUUGUCGUCAGCUCGUGCCGUGAGGUGUCGGCUUAAGUGCCAUAACGAGCGCAACCCUUGCCACUAGUUACUAACAGGUAAAGCUGAGGACUCUGGUGGGACUGCCAGCGUAAGCUGCGAGGAAGGCGGGGAUGACGUCAAAUCAGCACGGCCCUUACAUCCGGGGCGACACACGUGUUACAAUGGCGUGGACAAAGGGAAGCCACCUGGCGACAGGGAGCGAAUCCCCAAACCACGUCUCAGUUCGGAUCGGAGUCUGCAACCCGACUCCGUGAAGCUGGAUUCGCUAGUAAUCGCGCAUCAGCCAUGGCGCGGUGAAUACGUUCCCGGGCCUUGUACACACCGCCCGUCAAGCCAUGGGAGCCGGGGGUACCUGAAGUCCGUAACCGCGAGGAUCGGCCUAGGGUAAAACUGGUGACUGGGGC
This 1437-nucleotide ribosomal RNA is filed under the name uncultured organism. RNAcentral's name for it is "SSU rRNA". It matches the Rfam family "Bacterial small subunit ribosomal RNA". The record is from RNAcentral.